UUUUAAUAAAUUUUAAAGUCUAAUCUGCCCUAUGAGGGUUUAAAUGGCCGCGGUACUUUGACCGUGCAAAGGUAGCAUAAUAAUUAGUUUUUUAAUUGAAAGCUGGAAUGAAUGAUUGGACGAGAAAAUAACUGUCUCAAUUUAAUUUUUUUAAAAUUUUAUUUUUAAGUAAGAAAGCUUAAAUAUUAUUAAAAGACGAGAAGACCCUAUAGAGUUUUAUAAUUAGUUUGAUAUUAAUUUUUGAGAAUUAUUUUAUUAAUAUUGAGUUAAUUAUUUUGUUGGGGCGAUAGAGAAAUAUUAUUAACUUUUUUUUAUUAUUAGUUCAUUAAUUUAUGAAUAAAUGAUCCAUUUUUUAUGAUUAUAAGAAUAAGUUACCUUAGGGAUAACAGCGUUAUUUUUUUUUAGAGUUCUUAUCGAAAAAAAAGAUUGCGACCUCGAUGUUGGAUUAAAAUAUAUGUUUGGUGUAGAAGCUAAAUAAUUAGGUCCGUUCGACCUUUAAAUUU
Molecule: ribosomal RNA, 503 nt
Filed under: Nipponoserica koltzei
Lineage: Eukaryota; Metazoa; Arthropoda; Insecta; Coleoptera; Scarabaeidae
Description: partial 16S ribosomal RNA
Rfam family: Bacterial large subunit ribosomal RNA
Source: RNAcentral